This 470-nucleotide ribosomal RNA is filed under the name uncultured bacterium. Its description in RNAcentral is "partial 16S ribosomal RNA". It matches the Rfam family "Bacterial small subunit ribosomal RNA", at positions 28 to 507 of the family's 1533-position model. The record is from RNAcentral.
GACGAACGCUGGCGGCGUGCUUAACACAUGCAAGUCGAACGCUGAAGCACCAGCUUGCUGGUGUGGAUGAGUGGCGAACGGGUGAGUAAUACGUGAGUAACCUGCCCUUGACUCUGGGAUAAGCCCGGGAAACUGGGUCUAAUACUGGAUGCUACAUGUCACCGCAUGGUGGUGUGUGGAAAGGGUUUACUGGUCUUGGAUGGGCUCACGGCCUAUCAGCUUGUUGGUGAGGUAAUGGCUCACCAAGGCGACGACGGGUAGCCGGCCUGAGAGGGUGACCGGCCACACUGGGACUGAGGCACGGCCCAGACGCCUACGGGAGGCAGCAGUGGGGAAUAUUGCACAAGGGGCGAAAGCCUGAUGCAGCGACGCCGCGUGAGGGAUGACGGCCUUCGGGUUGUAAACCUCUUUCAGCAGGGAAGAAGCCACAAGUGACGGUACCUGCAGAAGAAGCGCCGGCUAACUACGUG